RNAcentral lists this ribosomal RNA (1473 nucleotides) under Clostridium acetobutylicum. RNAcentral describes it as "partial 23S ribosomal RNA". It matches the Rfam family "Bacterial large subunit ribosomal RNA", at positions 54 to 1524 of the family's 2925-position model. Lineage: Bacteria; Bacillati; Bacillota; Clostridia; Eubacteriales; Clostridiaceae. The record is from RNAcentral.
GGACGGGACGAACACCGAUAUGCUUCGGGGAGCUGUAAGCAAGCUUUGAUCCGGAGAUUUCCGAAUGGGGAAACCCACCACUCGUAAUGGAGUGGUAUCCAUAUCUGAAUUCAUAGGAUAUGAGAAGGCAGACCCGGGGAACUGAAACAUCUAAGUACCCGGAGGAAGAGAAAGCAAAUGCGAUUCCCUGAGUAGCGGCGAGCGAAACGGGAUUAGCCCAAACCAAGAGGCUUGCCUCUUGGGGUUGUAGGACACUCUGUACGGAGUUACAAAGGAACGAGGUAGAUGAAGAGGUCUGGAAAGGCCCGCCAUAGGAGGUAACAGCCCUGUAGUCAAAACUUCGUUCUCUCCUGAGUGGAUCCUGAGUACGGCGGAACACGUGAAAUUCCGUCGGAAUCCGGGAGGACCAUCUCCCAAGGCUAAAUACUCCCUAGUGACCGAUAGUGAACCAGUACCGUGAGGGAAAGGUGAAAAGCACCCCGGAAGGGGAGUGAAAGAGAUCCUGAAACCGUGUGCCUACAAGUAGUCAGAGCCCGUUAACGGGUGAUGGCGUGCCUUUUGUAGAAUGAACCGGCGAGUUACGAUCCCGUGCAAGGUUAAGCAGAAGAUGCGGAGCCGCAGCGAAAGCGAGUCUGAAUAGGGCGCAUGAGUACGUGGUCGUAGACCCGAAACCAGGUGAUCUACCCAUGUCCAGGGUGAAGUUCAGGUAACACUGAAUGGAGGCCCGAACCCACGCACGUUGAAAAGUGCGGGGAUGAGGUGUGGGUAGGGGUGAAAUGCCAAUCGAACCUGGAGAUAGCUGGUUCUCUCCGAAAUAGCUUUAGGGCUAGCCUCAAGGUAAGAGUCUUGGAGGUAGAGCACUGAUUGGACUAGGGGCCCCUACCGGGUUACCGAAUUCAGUCAAACUCCGAAUGCCAAUGACUUAUCCUUGGGAGUCAGACUGCGAGUGAUAAGAUCCGUAGUCGAAAGGGAAACAGCCCAGACCGCCAGCUAAGGUCCCAAAGUAUACGUUAAGUGGAAAAGGAUGUGGAGUUGCUUAGACAACCAGGAUGUUGGCUUAGAAGCAGCCACCAUUUAAAGAGUGCGUAAUAGCUCACUGGUCGAGUGACUCUGCGCCGAAAAUGUACCGGGGCUAAACGUAUCACCGAAGCUGCGGACUGUUCUUCGAACAGUGGUAGGAGAGCGUUCUAAGGGCUGUGAAGCCAGACCGGAAGGACUGGUGGAGCGCUUAGAAGUGAGAAUGCCGGUAUGAGUAGCGAAAGAGGGGUGAGAAUCCCCUCCACCGAAUGCCUAAGGUUUCCUGAGGAAGGCUCGUCCGCUCAGGGUUAGUCGGGACCUAAGCCGAGGCCGAAAGGCGUAGGCGAUGGACAACAGGUUGAUAUUCCUGUACCACCUCCUCACCAUUUGAGCAAUGGGGGGACGCAGGAGGAUAGGGUAAGCGCGGUAUUGGAUAUCCGCGUCCAAGCAGUUAGG